ACUCCUACGGGAGGCAGCAGUAGGGAAUCUUCCGCAAUGGGCGAAAGCCUGACGGAGCAACGCCGCGUGAGUGAUGAAGGUCUUCGGAUCGUAAAACUCUGUUAUCAGGGAAGAACAAAUGUGUAAGUAACUGUGCACAUCUUGACGGUACCUGAUCAGAAAGCCACGGCUAACUACGUGCCAGCAGCCGCGGUAAUACGUAGGUGGCAAGCGUUAUCCGGAAUUAUUGGGCGUAAAGCGCGCGUAGGCGGUUUUUAAGUCUGAUGUGAAAGCCCACGGCUCAACCGUGGAGGGUCAUUGGAAACUGGAAAACUUGAGUGCAGAAGAGGAAAGUGGAAUUCCAUGUGUAGCGGUGAAAUGCGCAGAGAUAUGGAGGAACACCAGUGGCGAAGGCGACUUUCUGGUCUGUAACUGACGCUGAUGUGCGAAAGCGUGGGAUCAAACAGGAUUAGAUACCCUGGUAGACAUCA
This 470-nucleotide ribosomal RNA is filed under the name uncultured bacterium. RNAcentral's name for it is "bacterial SSU rRNA". It matches the Rfam family "Bacterial small subunit ribosomal RNA", at positions 335 to 799 of the family's 1533-position model. The record is from RNAcentral.